GGGGGAGUAGCUCAGUGGUAGAGCACCUGGCUUUUAACCAGGGUGUCGCGGGUUCAAUCCCCGCCUCCCUCACCA
RNAcentral lists this transfer RNA (75 nucleotides) under Patescibacteria group bacterium. RNAcentral's name for it is "tRNA-Lys". It matches the Rfam family "tRNA". From Rfam's summary of the family: Transfer RNA (tRNA) molecules are approximately 80 nucleotides in length. The record is from RNAcentral. RNAcentral also lists the same sequence under 1 other name.